Molecule: transfer RNA, 68 nt
Filed under: Podarcis tauricus (Crimean wall lizard)
Lineage: Eukaryota; Metazoa; Chordata; Lepidosauria; Squamata; Lacertidae
Description: tRNA-His
Rfam family: tRNA
About the family: Transfer RNA (tRNA) molecules are approximately 80 nucleotides in length. Their secondary structure includes four short double-helical elements and three loops (D, anti-codon, and T loops). Further hydrogen bonds mediate the characteristic L-shaped molecular structure. tRNAs have two regions of fundamental functional importance: the anti-codon, which is responsible for specific mRNA codon recognition, and the 3' end, to which the tRNAs corresponding amino acid is attached (by aminoacyl-tRNA synthetases). tRNAs cope with the degeneracy of the genetic code in two manners: having more than one tRNA (with a specific anti-codon) for a particular amino acid; and 'wobble' base-pairing, i.e. permitting non-standard base-pairing at the 3rd anti-codon position.
Source: RNAcentral
GUAAAUAUAGUUUAUUAAAAACACUAGACUGUGACUCUAGAAACAGAAGCCCUAUCUUCUUAUUUACC